This 494-nucleotide ribosomal RNA is filed under the name uncultured bacterium. RNAcentral describes it as "partial 16S ribosomal RNA". It matches the Rfam family "Bacterial small subunit ribosomal RNA", at positions 30 to 507 of the family's 1533-position model. The record is from RNAcentral.
AUUGAACGCUGGCGGCAUGCUUUACACAUGCAAGUCGAACGGCAGCGGGGAGGUGCUUGCUUCUCUGCCGGCGAGUGGCGAACGGGUGAGUAAUACAUCGGAACGUGUCGAGAAGAGGGGGAUAACCACCCGAAAGGGUGGCUAAUACCGCAUAAAUUCUGCGGCAGAAAGCUGGUGACCUAGGAAUAGGCCUAGCGCUUUUUGACCCGCCGAUGUCGGAUUAGCUUGUUGGUGUGGUAAAGGCUCACCAAGGCGAAGAUCUGUAGCGGGUCUGAGAGGAUGAUCGGCCACACUGGAACUGAGACACGGCCCAGACUCCUACGGGAGGCAGCAGUGGGGAAUUUUGGACAAUGGGGGCAACCAUGAUCCAGCCAUGCCGCGUGUAUGAAGAAGGCCUUAGGGUUGUAAAGUACUUUUGUUAGGGAAGAAAAGUCAGCUGUGAAUAAUGGCUGAUACUGACGGUACCUAAAGAAUAAGCACCGGCUAACUACGUG